GGGAGUGUCAGCACGCCUGGUGGCGGCCACGGGCUUCAAACCCGUUGUGGGGUCUGUUAAGCAGGUCCCGGGUGGGUUCGAUUCCCAUCCACUCCCG
RNAcentral lists this transfer RNA (97 nucleotides) under Planctomycetota bacterium. RNAcentral describes it as "tRNA-Sec". It matches the Rfam family "Selenocysteine transfer RNA". RNAcentral also lists the same sequence under 1 other name. Lineage: Bacteria; Pseudomonadati; Planctomycetota. The record is from RNAcentral.